Molecule: unclassified non-coding RNA, 236 nt
Filed under: Hevea brasiliensis (rubber tree)
Lineage: Eukaryota; Viridiplantae; Streptophyta; Magnoliopsida; Malpighiales; Euphorbiaceae
Source: RNAcentral
GCAAAUUCAACUUUUUUUCAUUAAUUAACUAACCCAAAUCAAAUUAGUUGUGAUAAAGGCAGCAGUGGGGGAGGCAACUGUGGCAAUUGCAGUUGGAGGUGCUAAAUUGAAGUCCAUCUCUCCAGUCUUCUAAGGAUUUGCAUGGAAGAAACUUAUUUUUUGACAGAGAAUGGACAGAUAACAGAACAAUAUAUAACUUAAUGAAAAAAAUUAAUUUUAAAAGAAAAAAAAAUAAA